UACGGAGGGGGCGAGCGUUAUUCGGAAUUAUUGGGCGUAAAGGGCGCGUAGGCGGCUGAACAAGUCAAAGGUGAAAUCCCUCGGCUCAACUGAGGAACUGCCUUUGAAACUGUUCGGCUUGAGGCCGGGAGGGGGUAGCGGAAUUCCCAGUGUAGCGGUGAAAUGCGUAGAUAUUGGGAGGAACACCAGUGGCGAAGGCGGCUAGCUGGACCGGUUCUGACGCUGAGGCACGAAAGCGUGGGUAGCAAACAGG
RNAcentral lists this ribosomal RNA (253 nucleotides) under uncultured bacterium. RNAcentral's name for it is "partial 16S ribosomal RNA". It matches the Rfam family "Bacterial small subunit ribosomal RNA", at positions 524 to 776 of the family's 1533-position model. The record is from RNAcentral.